RNAcentral lists this ribosomal RNA (497 nucleotides) under uncultured bacterium. Its description in RNAcentral is "partial 16S ribosomal RNA". It matches the Rfam family "Bacterial small subunit ribosomal RNA", at positions 28 to 507 of the family's 1533-position model. The record is from RNAcentral.
GAUGAACGCUGGCGGCGUGCCUAAUACAUGCAAGUCGAGCGAACGGACGAGAAGUUUGCUUCUCUGAUGUUAGCGGCGGACGGGUGAGUAACACGUGGAUAACCUACCUAUAAGACUGGGAUAACUUCGGGAAAUCGGAGCUAAUACCGGAUAAUAUUUUGAACCGCAUGGUUCAAAAGUUAAAGACGGUCUUGCUGUCACUUAUAGAUGGACCCGCGCUGCAUGAGCUAGUUGGUAAGGUAACGGCUUACCAAGGCAACGAUGCAUAGCCGACCUGAGCGGGUGGUCGGCCAGACGGGAACUGAGACACAGUCCAGACUCCUACAGGAGGCAGCAGUAGGGAAUCUUCCGCAAUGGGCGAAAGCCUAACGGUGCAACGCGGCGGGAGGGAUGAAGGACUUCGGAUCGGAGAGCUCUGUUAGUAGGAAGGAACAUAUGUGUAAGUAACUGGGCAGAUCUUGACGGUACCUGAUCAGAAAGCCACGGCUAACUACGUG